RNAcentral lists this ribosomal RNA (480 nucleotides) under uncultured bacterium. RNAcentral's name for it is "partial 16S ribosomal RNA". It matches the Rfam family "Bacterial small subunit ribosomal RNA", at positions 28 to 507 of the family's 1533-position model. The record is from RNAcentral.
GACGAACGCUGGCGGCGUGCUUAACACAUGCAAGUCGAACGAUGAAGAAAAGAAUCGAAGCUUCGGCAGAAAUUCAUUUCGGAUUAGUGGCAGACGGGUGUGUAACGCGUGAGCAACCUACCUCUUACAAAGGGAUAGCCUCGGGAAACCGGGAUUAAUACCAUAUAACAUUGCGACGAAGCAUUUCGAUGCAAUCAAAGCUACGGCGGUAAGAGAUGGGCUCGCGUCCCAUUAACCGGAUGGUGAGGUAACGGCUCACCAUAGUGACGAUGGGUAACCGGCCUGAGAGGGUGAGCGGUCACACUGGAACUGGGACACGGUCCAGACUCCUACGGGAAGCAGCAGUGGGGAAUAUUGCACAGUGGAGGGAACUCUGAUGCAGCGACGCCGCGUGAGUGAUGAAGGAAUUCGUUUCGUAAAGCUCUGUUCUAUGGGAAGAAAAGGACUGUACCAUAGGAGAAAGCUCCGGCUAAAUACGUG